Transfer RNA from Ichthyophthirius multifiliis, 86 nucleotides. It matches the Rfam family "tRNA". Rfam says of the family: Transfer RNA (tRNA) molecules are approximately 80 nucleotides in length. Their secondary structure includes four short double-helical elements and three loops (D, anti-codon, and T loops). Further hydrogen bonds mediate the characteristic L-shaped molecular structure. tRNAs have two regions of fundamental functional importance: the anti-codon, which is responsible for specific mRNA codon recognition, and the 3' end, to which the tRNAs corresponding amino acid is attached (by aminoacyl-tRNA synthetases). tRNAs cope with the degeneracy of the genetic code in two manners: having more than one tRNA (with a specific anti-codon) for a particular amino acid; and 'wobble' base-pairing, i.e. permitting non-standard base-pairing at the 3rd anti-codon position. The record is from Rfam. NCBI's taxonomy places the organism in Eukaryota, Ciliophora, Oligohymenophorea, Hymenostomatida.
CCGAAUUUAGCUCAGUUGGAAGAGCAUCGGACUGUAAAGUAUUUGUAGUUAUCCGGUGGUCCCCGGUUCGAACCCGGGAAUUCGGA